UGCUCCCGUAGCUCAGUUGGAUAGAGCGAGCGCCUCCUAAGCGCUAGGUCGCAGGUUCGAUUCCUGCCGGGAGCAU
RNAcentral lists this transfer RNA (76 nucleotides) under bacterium HR08. RNAcentral's name for it is "tRNA-Arg". It matches the Rfam family "tRNA". Rfam says of the family: Transfer RNA (tRNA) molecules are approximately 80 nucleotides in length. Their secondary structure includes four short double-helical elements and three loops (D, anti-codon, and T loops). RNAcentral also lists the same sequence under 2 other names. The record is from RNAcentral.